This 253-nucleotide ribosomal RNA is filed under the name uncultured bacterium. RNAcentral's name for it is "partial 16S ribosomal RNA". It matches the Rfam family "Bacterial small subunit ribosomal RNA", at positions 524 to 776 of the family's 1533-position model. The record is from RNAcentral.
UACGUAGGGGGCAAGCGUUGUCCGGAUUCAUUGGGCGUAAAGAGCGUGUAGGCGGUUAGGUAGGUCAGUUGUGAAAACUGGAGGCUCAACCUUCAGACGUCGACUGAAACCCCCUGGCUAGAGUCCGGGAGAGGAGAGUGGAAUUCCUGGUGUAGCGGUGGAAUGCGCAGAUAUCAGGAAGAACACCCGUGGCGAAAGCGGCUCUCUGGAAUGGUACUGACGCUGAGACGCGAAAGCGUGGGGAGCGAACAGG